UAACAACUACGUCCUCUAUCUGUCAUGGAAAGAGAUCAUACCAAUAUUGAGAAUGAUGCUCAUCAUAACAUGCUAAUUAGCUCUUCUUCUGUUACUUCCACCACCGCCACUGCUUCUCCUUCCUCCAUGAUAUACUCGUUUUCGGAUUCUGAUCAUCAAAACGAGAGAAGUUGUUCCAAAAAUAGUGAUAAUGAGAAGAAGAAAAGGCAAAGGAGUAGUGAUAUUGGUGAAGGCAAGAAGCAUCCGACAUACCGUGGAGUACGCAUGAGAAGUUGGGGCAAAUGGGUGUCUGAAAUCCGAGAACCAAGGAAGAAAUCAAGAAUAUGGCUUGGAACAUACCACACAGCUGAAAUGGCUGCUCGAGCCCAUGAUGUAGCUGCCCUCGCCAUCAAAG
This 394-nucleotide long non-coding RNA is filed under the name Gossypium raimondii (Peruvian cotton). RNAcentral's name for it is "long non-coding RNA (GRAI_LNC005144)". The record is from RNAcentral. Lineage: Eukaryota; Viridiplantae; Streptophyta; Magnoliopsida; Malvales; Malvaceae.